This 261-nucleotide ribosomal RNA is filed under the name uncultured bacterium. RNAcentral describes it as "partial 16S ribosomal RNA". It matches the Rfam family "Bacterial small subunit ribosomal RNA", at positions 335 to 594 of the family's 1533-position model. The record is from RNAcentral.
AUCUUACGGGAGGCAGCAGUGAGGAAUAUUGGUCAAUGGGCGCGAGCCUGAACCAGCCAAGUCGCGUGAGGGAAGACGGUCCUAUGGAUUGUAAACCUCUUUUGUCGGGGAGCAAAAGACGCCACGCGUGGCGUUCCGAGAGUACCCGAAGAAAAAGCAUCGGCUACCUCCGUGCCAGCAGCCGCGGUAAUACGGAGGAUUCGCUCGUUAUCCGGAUUUAUUGGGCUUAUAGGGUGCGCAGGCGGAAGAUCACGUCAGCGG